This is a long non-coding RNA of Spea bombifrons (plains spadefoot toad), 461 nucleotides long. RefSeq lists it as uncharacterized. Lineage: Eukaryota; Metazoa; Chordata; Amphibia; Anura; Pelobatidae. The record is from RefSeq and is a predicted model, not a curated record. The transcript has 3 exons.
GGAAGAUCUUGCGUCUGUGUCAUAUUCUCCUGGUGCCUGAGGAAUGAACCCUUCACACUGGAAGUCUUUUGUCUGUGUGAUGCUCAGAUGUGAAUUUGUGUCAACUAUCCUUCAAAGCCUGUUCCAAGUAGAUCUGUAACAGCUACCAGAAUGGCUUGAGAUGUCUGGAAGAUCUUUCAUCCUUCAAGCUUCCUCGCCUGAAGAUCUUUAGAACUUCAACUUCACUGCCAAAGCAAAUUUAUCUCCACUCAUCAGACGCUGAUCCUCUUCUUCUUGUCAUUGACGAUUAAACCUACAGCAUGACACAAAUGUUACCAUGUUGCAGUUCUUUAAACUAUACAGCCCUAUAUAAGUAAACUCAUUUAAACCCCUUAAGUUACCUGUACAGCAUCCAAUGUGUCAUUUGCAUACUUUAUAUAUUAUCUUGGUUUCACCCAGUUUAAUAAAAUCCUUUAAGUUUA